Molecule: long non-coding RNA, 2177 nt
Organism: Anolis carolinensis (green anole)
Lineage: Eukaryota; Metazoa; Chordata; Lepidosauria; Squamata; Anolidae
Exons: 4
Source: RefSeq, a predicted model, not a curated record
AUAGGCCUUCCUUCAAAGCAGCCCGCCUUUUUUAUUCUGAGGAGAAUAUUAACCAUUUCGACGGUGUUGCUCAGUGUAUUUAUAUACAGUUACUCAUUUUGCCUCAGGUUAUAGCAGCAGGAAAUUUUAAUAGGAAAAUUUGAGGUUCUAAGUCCCAAAAUUUCCUCAAAUUUGCAAAGGAGAGAGUCAUAAAACCUUUAAAAAUAGACAAUAGGAAAUUUGGGGUUCUAAAUCCCAACAUUACCUCAGAUUUGCAAGGCGAAAUGUCAUAACACCGCCUUUAUUUUAUAUUUAAUAGGAAAUUAGAGGUUCUAAAUCACAAAAUUACCUCAGAUUUUCAAAAUUGAGGGUCAUAAAAACUUUAAAUUUCAUUUUCUGGUUUUGAUAGGAAAUUUGGGGUUCUAAAUCCCAAAAUUACGUCAGAUUUGCAAUGUGCAGAGUCACAACACAAUCUUUAAAAUACGUUUAAUAGGAAAUUUGAGGUUCUAAAUCCCAAAAUUAUCUCAGAUCUGCAAAGCAAAGAGUCAUAACACCGCUUUUAAUUUAUAUUUAAGAGGAAAUUUGAGGUUCUAAAUGACAAAAUUGCCUCAGAUUUGCAAAGCGGACAGUCAUAACACCGCCUUUAAUUUAUAUUUAAUAGGAAAUUUGGGGUUCUAAAUUACCUUUGGUUCCUGCCAAAGGUAUGCAAUCUAAAAUACUAAGGAAAAUAGAAGAAUAACAAAUCACAAAACAGGGUUGUUUUGUAUUAUUCGGGCAAUAUGGCCAUGUUCCAGAAAUACAUAGCCAUACUGCCCGGAAAACACAAAACAACCCUGUGUUCCCGGCCAUGAAAACCUUCGACAACACAAAUCACAAAACGGCGUAAUAGAAUUUGCAAAACCAAAUCCUCCAGAUAAAUUGCAAAUGAAGAACACAACCUAAUGCAAAGCCAGCUGACAAUACAGCUGGUAUGGCAUAGUGCUGUGGAAACAUGAGAGCUGUAGUUCGGCAGGAAUCAAUGCACAGCAUCUACGUCUCCCAACGGUGUUCAUCCCUAAUGAGGCUGGGGGUCCUGUAUGGACCCAUUAUCUCUGCGCCUUGAUGGGACAACAAAGUUCAGAGGACAAUAUACCCAGAUACAACUUUCACUGAAAUGAAACACUCUACAAGUCCUACGGCCCAUGACAACGGAGCUUGAACAGAGUGCUUUGCAGACAAUUCUGCCAGACCAGUGGCACCCCUGGGUUGGUGUCAUCUCCCUGGACCUCCUCCCAGACCAGACCAUACUGAACCUUAGUAAUGUUUUCGUAAUGAUUUUUCUCAUAAACCAUUGCUUAUAAAUCUGAACAAACCUGCAACUAUAUUUUUUAAAAAGCCAGCUGCAACACAAACACACGUAUGGACAAAACGACGCAGUGCAAAGCGUCAUUGUAAUUGGGUAAUAAUGACAGCUCUGACCAGAGUGCAUGCGCAUGAGAAGGUUUAAAGAGUAAAUGAGACUUUGACAACACAUAGAGUGUUAACCUUGAAGAUGUAUCUAUAAAGUACACUAAGCUAGGGUUACAAAAAUGUUUUUGUCCUUAUGACUAACUACCAGGAUGUUUUUAUUCAGACGUAAAUAUCUCUAAACAAUGCACAAAUAUUUUAUAGAUAAUUCCCUCAACAGCAGCCCAAUGGGCCUCCUCACUGUGGUGCAUGGAUGGGUGAGCACUGAUUCAGUUUCAUGGACCCGGUGCAACCUCAUAAGCAUUGGAUUGCACCUCUAUAUUUCCUCUCACAUCAAGUGUGCUAAAGCUGUAGUUCUGAGCAUAACUUCUUUGGAAGCAAUUCCCAGCUGACCAUCUUUAACUCUAUAUGGAAAGUGGCUAGAACCAGGAUGCUUUAAAGCCUCUUCAUUGUUGUCUCUAUAAGUGAGGGUUGUGUAAGAACAAUAAUGAAACCAUCCCCUCUCUUUAAGCUAAUUACACCUUCCCUAUACAACCAAACAAUACGCAGAGACAAAGUAAGCUUAGCUGAAUGCAAGCAGAACUCAAUUAGCACGGUGCGCCAUUAUAAACAAGCAACAUAUGCACAUAAUCAUUUUUAUGGGCUCCAUUCUUUAAAAACACUUGCGUCCAAUUCCUUAUCUUUAUGACUUCCAGUCACGAUGCAAAAUGCAAACUGUGUAUUUCAACAGAGACACAGCAUCAUGAAAACAG